AACGAACGCUGGCGGCAUGCCUAACACAUGCAAGUCGAACGAGACCUUCGGGUCUAGUGGCGCACGGGUGCGUAACGCAUGGGAACCUGCCCUUAGGUUCGGAAUAACUCCCCGAAAGGGGUUCUAAUACCGGAUAAUGUCUUCGGACCAAAGAUUUAUCGCCUUUGGAUGGGCCCGCGUUGGAUUAGCUAGUUGGUAGGGUAAAAGCCUACCAAGGCGACGAUCCAUAGCUGGUCUGAGAGGAUGAUCAGCCACACUGGGACUGAGACACGGCCCAGACUCCUACGGGAGGCAGCAGUGGGGAAUAUUGGACAAUGGGCGAAAGCCUGAUCCAGCAAUGCCGCGUGAGUGAUGAAGGCCUUAGGGUUGUAAAGCUCUUUUACCCGGGAUGAUAAUGACAGUACCGGGAGAAUAAGCGCCGGCUAACUCCGUG
Molecule: ribosomal RNA, 433 nt
Filed under: uncultured bacterium
Lineage: Bacteria
Description: partial 16S ribosomal RNA
Rfam family: Bacterial small subunit ribosomal RNA
Source: RNAcentral